CCUACGGGGGGCAGCAGUGAGGAAUAUUGGUCAAUGGGCGCAAGCCUGAACCAGCCACGUCGCGUGAAGGAAGACGGCCCUACGGGUUGUAAACUUCUUUUGUAAGGGAAUAAAGUGUAGUACGUGUACUAUUUUGCAUGUACCUUACGAAUAAGGAUCGGCUAACUCCGUGCCAGCAGCCGCGGUAAUACGGAGGAUCCGAGCGUUAUCCGGAUUUAUUGGGUUUAAAGGGUGCGCAGGCGGGAGAUUAAGUCGGCGGUGAAAUUUUGCAGCUUAACUGUAAAAGUGCCUUCGAAACUGG
Molecule: ribosomal RNA, 301 nt
Filed under: uncultured Porphyromonadaceae bacterium
Lineage: Bacteria; Pseudomonadati; Bacteroidota; Bacteroidia; Bacteroidales; Porphyromonadaceae
Description: bacterial SSU rRNA
Rfam family: Bacterial small subunit ribosomal RNA
Source: RNAcentral